AAAAACCCUCAGAUCACCUUCACUUAUACAGAACACCAGACCUAAAUGGGAUAGUUUUAUGUUUCUCGUGAAUUUUUGUGUUUGGAUUUCGGUGUAAGUGCUUGUAAGCGUUACAAAUUUUCAGUUGUGUUGAGUUUUUGUUAUACAAGUCACUUUUGCCAUGUACCCGAACGAGACUAGUGCCUCCUCGAGGAACACCAAAGGUGCCCCAAAAACCUCUUCCUCCAAUGGUAGUGGUGGUGUAUAUGGAAUAAGUUGCACCUGCCAGGAUUGCGGCUGCUGCGAUGGAUCUUGCCGGAACUGCAGUUGCUCCAACUGCCAGAGGAGGCGUCAGCGAGUCGAGCGAAGAACAUAAAGCUAUCCGUGUAUAUAUUUGGAUCACCAAGGUGGUUAGGAUGACGUUUCUCGAGGACUCGCUCCUGGCCACCGCAGAAAUAUCCUUUCGAUCCGGACAUAUUUUGGAGUUAUUGGAUUUACUCGGAUAAUAGUAUUAGUUCUUGUUCCAUAUGCUGAGAUACCCAACACUUGGAUUCCCUAAACUGGGAUACCUUAAACUGGGAUACACGGCUACCCUAUAUUUGGAUACCCUAUACUUGGAUUCCCUAUGCUUGGAUACCCAACGAUUGGAUACCACAUAAUCGGACUGCGUUUGACUCGAAUUCCAAAUAUGUUUAUUGGACAUAGAUACCCUAUAGUUGGAUAUCCUAAACUGGGAUAACCUAAGCUUGGAUACCCUGUUCUUGGAUACCCCAUACUCAGACUGUUUGACUCGGAUUACAAAUAUGUUUUAUGGACAUAGAUACCCUAUAGUUGGAUACCCUAAACUUGGAUAUGGUUAUCCCAUAUUUGACUGCUGUUACUCCGAUUUCACUAGGGACUCAGAAAUGUGCAGAAAACACCUGAUUGAUUCAAACGUUAAUCUAUAAGACCACACUAUGGAAUUGGCGAACACAAAAGUUAAUAAACUUAAAAUCAAA
This 977-nucleotide small RNA is filed under the name Drosophila yakuba. Its description in RNAcentral is "GE28092". Lineage: Eukaryota; Metazoa; Arthropoda; Insecta; Diptera; Drosophilidae. The record is from RNAcentral.